AUUGAACGCUGGCGGCAUGCUUUACACAUGCAAGUCGAACGGCAGCACGGGUGCUUGCACCUGGUGGCGAGUGGCGGACGGGUGAGUAAUACAUCGGAACGUAUCCUGAAGUGGGGGAUAACGCAUCGAAAGAUGUGCUAAUACCGCAUAUACUCUGAGGAGGAAAGUAGGGGAUCGAAAGACCUUAUGCUUUUGGAGCGGCCGAUGUCUGAUUAGCUAGUUGGUAAGGUAAUGGCUUACCAAGGCAACGAUCAGUAGUUGGUCUGAGAGGACGACCAGCCACACUGGGACUGAGACACGGCCCAGACUCCUACGGGAGGCAGCAGUGGGGAAUUUUGGACAAUGGGCGCAAGCCUGAUCCAGCAAUGCCGCGUGAGUGAAGAAGGCCU
This 389-nucleotide ribosomal RNA is filed under the name uncultured bacterium. RNAcentral's name for it is "bacterial SSU rRNA". It matches the Rfam family "Bacterial small subunit ribosomal RNA", at positions 30 to 417 of the family's 1533-position model. The record is from RNAcentral.